This 330-nucleotide long non-coding RNA is filed under the name Ananas comosus (pineapple). RNAcentral describes it as "long non-coding RNA (ACOM_LNC031409)". Lineage: Eukaryota; Viridiplantae; Streptophyta; Magnoliopsida; Poales; Bromeliaceae. The record is from RNAcentral.
UUUUUUUAUCCGUAAUUCUAAACACUUAAAUGAAUCAAUUUCACUUUAUAUAUAUAUAUAUAUAUAUAUAUACUAUACUAUUAAUCAUACGAAACGUUUGAUGCUAUUAGAUUUUCGGUCAUUGUAUGAAAAUGUGUGCGAUUAGAAUAAUAGUGGUUCUCUAAAAUUAAGUGGGUGGUUGGUUGGUUGAAUAUUAUAAUCUAAUAUAUGAAAAUGAUCAAAGAGUUAUAUCUAAUAGCGGAAAACUCGAUAGCACUAGGCGCUUGUAUCUAUCUAUAGUAUAGUAGCCGGACUCUCUCUCUCUCUCUCUCUCUCUCUCUCUCUCUCUCU